RNAcentral lists this ribosomal RNA (249 nucleotides) under uncultured bacterium. RNAcentral describes it as "partial 16S ribosomal RNA". It matches the Rfam family "Bacterial small subunit ribosomal RNA", at positions 791 to 1035 of the family's 1533-position model. The record is from RNAcentral.
UAGUCCACGCCGUAAACGAUGAGCACUAGGUAUCGGGGUCAGAAGACUUCGGUGCCGCCGUUAACGCAUUAAGUGCUCCGCCUGGGGAGUACGUACGCAAGUAUCAAACUCAAAGGAAUUGACGGGGACCCGCACAAGCAGCGGAGCAAAAAAAAUGUGGUUUAAUUCGAAGCAACGCGAAGAACCUUACCAGGACUUGACAUCCUCCUGACAGGUCGUUAAAACGAUCUUUCUACGGACAGGAGAGAC